ACUUGCGAUAUACCGAUUCGAUCACGACCGGUCGAAGGAUAUUCGGCUUACCACCGUCUAUCAUACGACUCGACAUGCUACGUCAACGGAUAUUCGACUUGCGACAUACCGACCCGGUCACAACCGAUCGAAGGAUAUUCGGCUUGCCACCGUUUAUCACACGUCCCGACGUGCAUGCUCGACCCAGGGGCCGGACAAUGGAUAUUCGACUUGCCAUCGUUAUCCUAUCCGAAUACGUCGGACGUUACUCGACUAUCGGAUACGUCGGAUGCUACUCGACUAUCAGACUCUACGGGA
This 297-nucleotide long non-coding RNA is filed under the name Elaeis guineensis (African oil palm). RNAcentral's name for it is "long non-coding RNA (EGUI_LNC016328)". The record is from RNAcentral. Lineage: Eukaryota; Viridiplantae; Streptophyta; Magnoliopsida; Arecales; Arecaceae.